Non-coding RNA from Pelodiscus sinensis (Chinese soft-shelled turtle), 2569 nucleotides. The record is from RefSeq and is a predicted model, not a curated record. NCBI's taxonomy places the organism in Eukaryota, Metazoa, Chordata, Testudines, Trionychidae.
AGAAUUAUUCAAUGAAGGAGUAGUAGUAGAAAAACGUGCAUGAGUGGUGCAUCCCACUAUCAUAAAGGCAUCCUCCAAGGACUGAGAAUCGAGACCCCCUCUGGAACAAUAGCAGGGGCGUUAGGCAUUGUUGCUGUUUGCAAAUAGGUCUAUAGUCAGGUUCCCCCACUAUCUGAACACAGGUACUUGCAUGCUGGGGUUGAGUUCCCAUUCAUGAUUUAAAGCAAAAUGUCUGCUGAGAUUAUCCACCACAGUAUUGUCUUUGUCUGGAAAGUAGAGGGCUGUGAAGUGAAUGUUGUGUGGAAUGCACCAAUUCCAUAACUGUACUGCUUCAAAACACAGUCGGUAAAGAACAAGCCCUACCCUGGCAGUUUAUAUAAUAUAUUGUGAGACUAAUCAUAAAUAUUUGUACUGUUUUGUUCUGAAUCAAGGGGAAAAAGCUUUACAAACUGCUCUGAGUUCCAGGAAUUUUAUAUGCGGUUUGGACAACUCCUGAGACCAGUGCUACUGGACAGUGUGGUGACUGAUUUGGGCUCCCUAUUCAAUUAGAGUAGCAUUCAUGAUGGAUGUAUGGGAUGGGAGGGCACUCGGUUGCAGGAGUUGCCCUGGACUAUCCAGGAGAAGGACUCCUUUCUUUAUCUUGGUGGCCAUAAUAAGGCAGCUGUUGAUAUGGUUAUAGUGAGGUCUGUAAACUGUUUGUAGCCAUGUGCGUAGUGGUCCCAUGUGUAGGGCGAGCAUGUUGCACUACAAAAGAGCCUGCUGCCAUACCAUCUUGCAGUUGAAGACUGCUAUAACCGGGGGGUUAUUCUGUGCUGAUGAGAUAGGUUUCUAGCACUCGUGGACCUUAUGAUACACACAAAAGUGCUGCUGUAGCUGAGGAGCAAUCUAGGUAGGGCCCCAGUGAAUUCAAACUGCUGUGUGGGGAUUAAUGUGCACUUCUGAAAGUUCAGUGGUAGACCCAAUUUGCUGAAUAGAGCCCUGGUGAUGGUGACUGCUCAUUCUGUCUUGUGAUACGAUGACCCUUUUAGGAGACAAUCAUCCAGAUGCGGGAAAAUGACAGUUCCCAACCUGAGGAAAUGUGCUGCAACCACUGCUACAACUUUGGAAAAGACUCAAGGGGCUGUGGAAAGCUCAAAAGGAAGUACUCUGUAUUGGAAGUGCCACUUGUGAACAGCAAAUAGGAGGUAUCAUCUCUGCAGGGAGUAUUACGAUGUGGAAAGAUGUAUCCUAUAGGUUGAGGGUAGACAGCCAGUCUCCCUUCUCCAAGGCAGAGAGUGCUAUGGUGAGAGUUACCAUCUUACAUCUGUGAUGUGCGUAUGAAAUGGUUGAGGUUGCAUAAAUCAAGAAUAGUCUUGAUCAAGAAUGGUCCCCAACCUCUUGAUUUCUUGGUUGUAAGAAAAUAGUGGGAAUAAAAUGCCUCCCCCGGUGCUGUUGAGGUACAUGUUCUAUUGCUCCUAGUUGCAUGAGGUGAUUCAGUUCCUGAAUAAGAGCGAUCUCAUGAGAGGGGUUCCUGAAGAGGGAUGUGCGGGGUAGGAGGGAAGGGGAGGAGAAAGGGAUGCAAUAAACAAUCUGCACCAUCUCUCAUACCCAUCUGUCUGUGGUAAUGAUAUUCUACACAGGAUAAAAGGAUGCUGGUCAGUUCCCAAAUGGUGUGGGAGUGAUCGGAUGCUGUCUUGGAGAUGCUGGGGAUGUCUGACACUCGUCAAACCCUUCAAAAGCUUUCCCUCUGCAGCUGAGUGAAGGGAGUUGGUCUGUUUCUCUAAUUAAAUAUUUCUCCCGUUUUCUUUGUUACAGGGACAUGUUCGCUGAGAGUCUUGAGUGUAGACCAUGAAUCCUUGGAGUCUAUGUAAGGAGGGAUCAGUGGACUCAGAGAAGAGCUUGGAUCCUUCAAAUGGCUGCUGGCAGUCAUCCGCCACCUUGUCACCCUGCUCCAGGCUAGACAGCUCCCCUGCAGAAAUAGACAGGAGGCGAAAAUACCAGACUGUCCGGGUCAAUACCAGACACUUGGCAACCUUAUCGGCUUCAGACUCAAAUGGUGGAUUCAGGACCCUGAGGUUCAGUCCCAUGUGGUGGGGCUUCAGUUUUCUAUCAUGAGCCCCAGUGAAUCUACUGCUGGCCCUAUUUGUCAGCCCCUCUGAAAACUGCUCAUAACUCCUCAGUGGCCCCAGAUUCCUGCUUGAGAACCACUAAUCUACAUCAAACUACAAGUCCCUUGGGCUCAAAAUCUGUUGUUGUGGGAGCACACACUCAAUAGAAAACUUAAGCCUGUGUUAAAUCUGCAGGCAACACCACCGUCUAAUAUGUUGUGUGUGCUAUUAUAAAUGUUGAAGGACACGUUGUGUCAUUCACAUGCAUCUGACUAUUUUACCGCAGUACCUAGAUAUGCUCUAAGUAUGAGAAAGAAUAUUAGUGCCAUGAACUAGCUCUGUGAUUUGAGACUAUUAUUUUAUAAGUAAUAUUUUACGUUCACCUUGAUAAUCCCCCUCAUUAAAAAAAUAAAAUGCAAAGUAAAUAUCUGGAAGCCAGAAAGCCUAUUUCUAGUUUAAUUUUCAACACCAUAAAUAUUUAA